Phrynosoma platyrhinos (Desert horned lizard) is the source of this 73-nucleotide non-coding RNA. NCBI's taxonomy places the organism in Eukaryota, Metazoa, Chordata, Lepidosauria, Squamata, Phrynosomatidae. The record is from the annotation of a GenBank genome assembly.
UGGGCCUUAACUCAGUGGUAGGGCACUUGCUUUGCAUGCAAAAAGUCCCAGGUUCAGUUCCUGCCAUCUCCAA